AGCUACCCGCCUGAACUUAGCAUAUCAAUAAGCGGAGGAAAAGAAACCAACAGGGAUUGCCCCAGUAACGGCGAGUGAAGCGGCAAGAGCUCAAAUUUGAAAUCUGGCCUCCCCCGGGGGCCCGAGUUGUAAUUUGCAGAGGAUGCUUCGGGUGCGGCCGCCGUCUAAGUUCCUUGGAACAGGACGUCAGAGAGGGUGAGAAUCCCGUCUUGGGCGGGCGGUCCGCGCCCGUGUGAAGCUCCUUCGACGAGUCGAGUUGUUUGGGAAUGCAGCUCUAAGCGGGUGGUAAAUUUCAUCUAAAGCUAAAUAUUGGCCGGAGACCGAUAGCGCACAAGUAGAGUGAUCGAAAGGUUAAAAGCACCUUGAAAAGGGAGUUAAACAGCACGUGAAAUUGUUGAAAGGGAAGCGCUUGCGGCCAGACUCGGGGGCGGGGUUCAGCGGGUGCUCGUCGCCCGUGUAUUCCUCGUCUCCCGGGCCAGCAUCAGUUUCGACGGCCGGUCAAAGGCCCCCGGAAUGUGUCGUCUCUCGGGACGUCUUAUAGCCGGGGGUGCAAUGCGGCCCGUCGGGACUGAGGAACGCGCUCCGGCUCGGAUGCUGGCGUAAUGGCCGUAAGCGGCCCGUCUUGAAACACGGACCAAGGAGUCUAACAUCCACGCGAGUGUUCGGGUGUCAAACCCGUGCGCGCAGUGAAAGCGAACGGAGGUGGGAGCCUUAGGGCGCACCAUCGACCGAUCCUGAAGUCUUCGGAUGGAUUUGAGUAGGAGCGUGGCCGUUGGGACCCGAAAGAUGGUGAACUAUGCCUGAAUAGGGUGAAGCCAGAGGAAACUCUGGUGGAGGCUCGCAGCGGUUCUGACGUGCAAAUCGAUCGUCAAAUUUGGGCAUAGGGGCGAAAGACUAAUCGAACCAUCUAGUAGCUGGUUCCUGCCGAGU
This 930-nucleotide ribosomal RNA is filed under the name Microsporum canis. Its description in RNAcentral is "LSU rRNA". It matches the Rfam family "Eukaryotic large subunit ribosomal RNA", at positions 22 to 966 of the family's 3401-position model. Lineage: Eukaryota; Fungi; Ascomycota; Eurotiomycetes; Onygenales; Arthrodermataceae. The record is from RNAcentral.